GAUGAACGCUGGCGGCGUGCCUAAUACAUGCAAGUCGAGCGAAUGGAUUAAGAGCUUGCUCUUAUGAAGUUAGCGGCGGACGGGUGAGUAACACGUGGGUAACCUGCCCAUAAGACUGGGAUAACUCCGGGAAACCGGGGCUAACACCGGAUAACAUUUUGAACCGCAUGGUUCGAAAUUGAAAGGCGGCUUCGGCUGUCACUUAUGGAUGGACCCGCGUCGCAUUAGCUAGUUGGUGAGGUAACGGCUCACCAAGGCAACGAUGCGUAGCCGACCUGAGAGGGUGAUCGGCCACACUGGGACUGAGACACGGCCCAGACUCCUACGGGAGGCAGCAGUAGGGAAUCUUCCGCAAUGGACGAAAGUCUGACGGAGCAACGCCGCGUGAGUAAGGAAGGCUUUCGGGUCGUAAAACUCUGUUGUUAGGGAAGAACAAGUGCUAGUUGAAUAAGCUGGCACCUUGACGGUACCUAACCAGAAAGCCACGGCUAACUACGUGCCAGCCGCCGCGGUAA
This 515-nucleotide ribosomal RNA is filed under the name uncultured bacterium. Its description in RNAcentral is "partial 16S ribosomal RNA". It matches the Rfam family "Bacterial small subunit ribosomal RNA", at positions 28 to 523 of the family's 1533-position model. The record is from RNAcentral.